CCUACGGGAGGCUGUAGUGGGGAAUAUUGGACAAUGGGCGAAAGCCUGAUCCAGCCAUGCCGCGUGUGUGAAGAAGGCCUUCGGGUUGUAAAGCACUUUCAGUGGGGAAGAAAGCCUUGGGGCUAAUACCCUCGAGGAAGGACAUCACCCACAGAAGAAGCAUCGGCUAACUCCGUGCCAGCAGCCGCGGUAAUACGGAGGGUGCGAGCGUUAAUCGGAAUUACUGGGCGUAAAGCGCGCGUAGGCGGUCUGAUAAGCCGGUUGUGAAAGCCCCGGGCUCAACCUGGGAACGGCAUCCGGAACUGUCAGGCUAGAGUGCAGGAGAGGAAGGUAGAAUUCCCGGUGUAGCGGUGAAAGGCGUAGAGAUCGGGAGGAAUACCAGUGGCGAAGGCGGCCUUCUGGACUGACACUGACGCUGAGGUGCGAAAGCGUGGGUAGCAAACAGGAUUAGAUACCCGGGUAGUC
RNAcentral lists this ribosomal RNA (465 nucleotides) under Vreelandella stevensii. RNAcentral describes it as "partial 16S ribosomal RNA". It matches the Rfam family "Bacterial small subunit ribosomal RNA", at positions 338 to 795 of the family's 1533-position model. The record is from RNAcentral. Lineage: Bacteria; Pseudomonadati; Pseudomonadota; Gammaproteobacteria; Oceanospirillales; Halomonadaceae.